Small nuclear RNA from Pteronotus mesoamericanus, 134 nucleotides. RefSeq annotates it as U11 spliceosomal RNA. The transcript has a single exon. NCBI's taxonomy places the organism in Eukaryota, Metazoa, Chordata, Mammalia, Chiroptera, Mormoopidae. The record is from RefSeq and is a predicted model, not a curated record.
GGGAGGGGCUUCUGCUGUGAGUGGCACAUGUAGGGCAGCUUGAUUGCUCUAUGUGUGGAAUCGACAUCAAGAGAUUCCAGAAGCAUAAUUUUUGGAUACCUGGGCUGCUAGUGAUCUUAGGUCCUGGUGCCCGC